AUUAAAAACCAAUGCCCUUCGGGGCUCCUUGGUGAUUCAUGAUAACUUCGCGAAUCGCAUGGCCUUGCGCCGGCGAUGGUUCAUUCAAAUUUCUUCCCUAUCAACUUUCGAUGUUUGGGUAUUGGCCAAACAUGGUUGCAACGGGUAACGGAGGGUUAGGGCUCGACCCCGGAGAAGGAGCCUGAGAAACGGCUACUACAUCCAAGGAAGGCAGCAGGCGCGCAAAUUACCCAAUCCCGACACGGGGAGGUAGUGACAAUAAAUACUGAUACAGGGCUCUUUAGGGUCUUGUAAUUGGAAUGAGUACAAUUUAAAUCCCUUAACGAGGAACAAUUGGAGGGCAAGUCUGGUGCCAGCAGCCGCGGUAAUUCCAGCUCCAAUAGCGUAUAUUAAAGUUGUUGUGGUUAAAAAGCUCGUAGUUGAACCUUGGGCCUGGCUGGCCGGUCCGCCUCACCGCGUGCACUGGUCCGGCCGGGCCUUUCCCUCUGUGGAACCCCAUGCCCUUCACUGGGCGUGGC
This 518-nucleotide ribosomal RNA is filed under the name uncultured fungus. Its description in RNAcentral is "SSU rRNA". It matches the Rfam family "Eukaryotic small subunit ribosomal RNA", at positions 214 to 732 of the family's 1831-position model. Lineage: Eukaryota; Fungi. The record is from RNAcentral.